GCCCCUGUAGCGCAAUGGAUAGCGCGCGCGUUAGACUUCUAAUUUAAAGGUCGUGGGUUUGAAUCCCACCUGUGAUG
Trichonephila clavipes is the source of this 77-nucleotide non-coding RNA. NCBI's taxonomy places the organism in Eukaryota, Metazoa, Arthropoda, Arachnida, Araneae, Nephilidae. The record is from the annotation of a GenBank genome assembly.